This 331-nucleotide ribosomal RNA is filed under the name uncultured bacterium. Its description in RNAcentral is "bacterial SSU rRNA". It matches the Rfam family "Bacterial small subunit ribosomal RNA", at positions 585 to 916 of the family's 1533-position model. The record is from RNAcentral.
AAGUUAGAGGUGAAAUCCCAGGGCUCAACCCUGGAACUGCCUUUAAUACUGCUAGUCUUGAGUUCGAGAGAGGUAAGUGGAAUUCCGAGUGUAGAGGUGAAAUUCGUAGAUAUUCGGAGGAACACCAGUGGCGAAGGCGGCUUACUGGCUCGAUACUGACGCUGAGGUGCGAAAGUGUGGGGAGCAAACAGGAUUAGAUACCCUGGUAGUCCACACCGUAAACGAUGAAUGCCAGACGUCAGCAAGUAUACUUGUUGGUGUCACACCUAACGGAUUAAGCAUUCCGCCUGGGGAGUACGGUCGCAAGAUUAAAACUCAAAUGAAUUGACGG